Molecule: ribosomal RNA, 110 nt
Filed under: Protostelium mycophagum
Lineage: Eukaryota; Evosea; Variosea; Protosteliida; Protosteliaceae
Description: partial 5.8S ribosomal RNA
Rfam family: 5.8S ribosomal RNA
About the family: 5.8S ribosomal RNA (5.8S rRNA) is a component of the large subunit of the eukaryotic ribosome. It is transcribed by RNA polymerase I as part of the 45S precursor that also contains 18S and 28S rRNA. Functionally, it is thought that 5.8S rRNA may be involved in ribosome translocation.
Source: RNAcentral
UACAACCAAUAUCAAUGGAUCUCUGGACUCUAACUACGAUGAAAAACGCAGCAAAAUGCGAAACAUAAUAUGAAUCGCAAGACACUAUGAAUCAUCAGAUUUUUGAACGC